AGGAGGGACCAGAACUUCUCUCUCUUUCCAGUGGAUGGCAGUACGGAUCUCUAAGAGCUGGCCAGGUGCUCCACCUGGAUGGUGCUGGUGGUGACAGUGAGGCAGAUGUCUUUAUGAUGUUCUGCCGUCUUAUAAGGGGGCCUUCUAGCUACAAAGAUGAGCCGAAGAUGUGAGGAUGCACCAACAGCUGCUCCUUUUUAGGGACUUCAGAACCAUCUGCGAUCAAAACCUCAAAUGCAUGAAGACAGCACAGUCCUCAAGGCGGUGGCUCAUCACUUUUCAGGUGAGAACAUCACAUCCACAAGAAGCAGGGUGAGAGAGCCGACUGCCAGGAGUCUGGACUCCCCUUCAUCUGGAGACAUCAGCAAAGGAAACCAUCAGCUCUUCAAGCUAUCAGACUCCCUCCUCCCUAAUAAUUCCACUUUGACAGAUAGACGCCAGCUCAUACUCAUGUAGUAGUAGCUUGUUGGUUUGCUUCCGGUUCUUUGUGAAUGUUUACUUCAAUUCCCUUUGUGCUCUACUCUUGGCAUCCCUUGGAAUAUUGCUUGUUCUUGGUGAGUGUAUCCAGGCUGGUGCCAGCUUACAUCUGAUUGUAUCUCCCAUUUGUAACUGGUGCCCUGAGGACUACAAGCAGGUCUUCGAAAAUCAAUUGUCUGCUUUGGCACCAAAGAAAUCUGUGUGCUUGGUAUUUUCAGGGAGGAAAAUGAAGGAAAGAGCUUUCUUUGUUCCGA
Molecule: long non-coding RNA, 731 nt
Organism: Meriones unguiculatus (Mongolian gerbil)
Lineage: Eukaryota; Metazoa; Chordata; Mammalia; Rodentia; Muridae
Exons: 2
Source: RefSeq, a predicted model, not a curated record